GACUUUUAUGAGUUUUGCUAAGAUCUGUGUGGGUCAUUGGCUUGGAAGAAAAGGUUUAAUCAGUUAGUGCUUCACCUGUGUACAAAGGAAAGUUGAUGGACCAUAAACCAUUCACAGGGUAGGACUUCUAGAUGAAUAAAGAUAUGGUGUAUUUUCCAGGACUAAAUUAUCUUUGAGCUGUGAUCAAGCAUGAGAAAUUUCCACCCUGAGGAAAAAUAUUUGAAGGUUGCAAAAUGAAUUCCUAGAUUUACGUUUCAGAAUCAAUGAUCCUUUGUUUCAUAUUGGCUGACCUAUUCACCAGGCUGGAUUUGGUAGCCUAUGACUAUGAUAGUAAAAAAGACACUUGAGGGAAGCUGUGAAAAAUUUGGUAUGAUCAAAUAUACCAAGAAAAUGAAGAGCAUUGAGCAAAAGUCACAUGGAAGGAAAACAUGAGGAAUAUCACUGUAUAUGAAGGUAAAUACUGCUUAUAAAAAAUCUGAAGAGCCAUAUAAAAGCCACCUCUGUGGAGCUUCCUGCAAGAGCAGGUUGGAGAAAUAAUGGUCACAUCAAGCCUAUCAGAGGGUGGCUGUAUUUUGUGCUGGAAAAACAACACUUCCAUAAGAACAGCAAAUUGGUAUCACUGAGUGAGAAAAGUUGGAAGACUGCAGCAUCAUAAAAUGUCAAAGGGUUCAAGCAAACGAAUUUUCAAAAAAUAAGUCUUCUGUUAUGCAUAAUGUUGGUCAGAACUCUUAGUUACAAAGACAGAAAUCAAUUUGUAACAACUUAACCAAUAAUAAGUAAUGGAUUGGACAUAUAUUGUGGUAGCACAGAGAACUGAAAGAAAAGCUAAACCACCAAACCUCAGACAAGACAGCUCCAGCGUCAGACCAGUUCAAACCAGGCAACAAAUGCCUGUAAGAUUCUAUCACUGGCUUCUAUUUCUUCCUGUAAGUCAUCUUUAUUAUCUUAACCAUAGAUGGACUUCUUCACGAGAUGGGGGUGGAAACAGCCAUCUGCAUCUCUGUCCUCAAACACUCUCACCUCUGAAGCUAGAGAAAGGGGACUACCUCUGCUGUUUAAAAAAAUCCUUUCAAAAGAUUCUGCCUUUCAAAAAAGGGCCAAUUUGGGGUACUUGCCAACAUGAACCACUAUGGCUGGGGGAAUAAAAUAUCAUUUUUGACCCUGCUCGGGUCUCUGCUCUGUCUCCAAUGCCUUAUAAUGGACAAUUCUCAACAAGUAUUUAUGGAAUUAAUAUCCCAAAGACAACUUUAUUAAAAUAGGAACACUGAAAAAAAGCCCAAGUACUUAAAAAAAUCCUGUGUCUGUUAUCUGCAAUUAUGACUGUAAUUUUACAACAUGAUGUAUGUGUUCUCUGCAGUUACAAUAUUUUAAAAUGUAAUUCUGACAAGAUUAUUUCUACAUAAUCAUCAAAUCCACCAUUUAAUCAACCUGUUGUUUGUUAUUUAAGAUUAAUUAAAAGGCAGAUGACUGCAUGCCCAGUUUAUUGAGUGUGUGAUAAAGUCAGCUCCUCAACUGGUUUAAAGCACUGAAUAAACUUUUUUUUUUGAAAAGUAA
This is a long non-coding RNA of Aethalodelphis obliquidens (Pacific white-sided dolphin), 1554 nucleotides long. RefSeq lists it as uncharacterized. Lineage: Eukaryota; Metazoa; Chordata; Mammalia; Artiodactyla; Delphinidae. The transcript has 5 exons. The record is from RefSeq and is a predicted model, not a curated record.